GGAACCUCCCGGUAAGCAAACAACAGGGGAAAGGCUUCUGGGAACCGGGUUGCGUAGUCGCACACUACCAGAAUAUAUUUAUGUCCAGUGCGGCUACGUUCGACAGGACCCACAAUAUCAACCGCUAUUCUGGAAAAAGGCUCUUCCACUACAGGCAAAGACUGCGAACCCUUUGUGGCCUUGUCAAAGCAGACACGCAGACUGGGGUCGUC
Polypterus senegalus (gray bichir) is the source of this 212-nucleotide long non-coding RNA. RefSeq lists it as uncharacterized. Lineage: Eukaryota; Metazoa; Chordata; Cladistia; Polypteriformes; Polypteridae. The record is from RefSeq and is a predicted model, not a curated record. The transcript is spliced from 3 exons.